Molecule: ribosomal RNA, 253 nt
Filed under: uncultured bacterium
Lineage: Bacteria
Description: partial 16S ribosomal RNA
Rfam family: Bacterial small subunit ribosomal RNA
Source: RNAcentral
UACGGAGAGAGCUAGCGUUGUUCGGAAUUACUGGGCGUAAAGCGCACGUAGGCGGCUUUGUAAGUUAGAGGUGAAAGCCCAGUGCUCAACACUGGAACUGCCUUUAAGACUGCAUCGCUUGAAUCCAGGAGAGGUGAGUGGAAUUCCGAGUGUAGAGGUGAAAUUCGUAGAUAUUCGGAAGAACACCAGUGGCGAAGGCGGCUCACUGGACUGGUAUUGACGCUGAGGUGCGAAAGCGUGGGGAGCAAACAGG